UACGGAGGGUGCGAGCGUUGUUCGGAAUUACUGGGCGUAAAGGGCGCGUAGGCGCCUUACAAGUCAGGUGUGAAAGUCCACGGCUCAACCGUGGAAGUGCAUUUGAAACUGUAAGGCUUGAGUACUGGAGGGGAGUGUGGAAUUCCUGGUGUAGAGGUGAAAUUCGUAGAUAUCAGGAGGAAUACCGGUGGCGAAGGCGACACUCUGGACAGAUACUGACGCUGAGGCGCGAAAGCGUGGGGAGCAAACAGGAUUAGAUACCCUUGUA
This 268-nucleotide ribosomal RNA is filed under the name uncultured prokaryote. RNAcentral's name for it is "partial 16S ribosomal RNA". It matches the Rfam family "Bacterial small subunit ribosomal RNA", at positions 524 to 792 of the family's 1533-position model. The record is from RNAcentral.